GAGAGUGCAGCUCUAAGUGGAUGGUAAACUCCAUCUAAGGCUAAAUACGACCACGAGAUCGAUAGCGAACAAGUACCGUUAGGGAAAGUUGAAAAGAAUUUUGAAAAGAUGCGUCGAGGCCGUCGCAAGCGCGCGCCACGGUACUCGGAGGUUACGGACUUUGCGCCGUCCCCGGUCCUGGCCCGCUGUUGGUUAAAGUACGGCUCAUCUUCGACAGGCCUGUCGAACGUCCCUCUCCCUCCCUUGUGGGUCGCGAGGGGGAUCUAUACCGGUCGGCGACGCUAUUGCUUUGGGUACUUUUAGGACCCG
RNAcentral lists this ribosomal RNA (309 nucleotides) under Formica fusca complex sp. MAS-2009. RNAcentral's name for it is "eukaryotic LSU rRNA". It matches the Rfam family "Eukaryotic large subunit ribosomal RNA", at positions 276 to 523 of the family's 3401-position model. Lineage: Eukaryota; Metazoa; Arthropoda; Insecta; Hymenoptera; Formicidae. The record is from RNAcentral.